This is a long non-coding RNA of Camelus dromedarius (Arabian camel), 473 nucleotides long. RefSeq lists it as uncharacterized. NCBI's taxonomy places the organism in Eukaryota, Metazoa, Chordata, Mammalia, Artiodactyla, Camelidae. The transcript has 4 exons. The record is from RefSeq and is a predicted model, not a curated record.
CUUAUACGUACUCAGAAAUACUGUAAACAUCAUAAAAUCAGAGCUUAGGCUGUUAUUUGUCUUCAGCACUUUUUUAGUAUGGCUGGUGUAGUUGAAGCGGCAGAAUGCCAACUUGGGACCUCUUUGACAUCCAGAGCCUGGACUGGAGAACUUGCAGCCAUGACUUAGGGCAGAUGUGGUGGAGUUGCAUUCUUCACAUGGAGCUGAAUUCUGCCAUCAACUGCGCGAAGUUGGAGAGGACUCUAAGCUCCGGAAGGAAAUGCAGCCUUGCUGACAUCUUGUUUGAAGAGAAGAUCUAGGUCACCAGUGUCUCAGAAGAGGAGUUUGUGCCCAGUAAAGCUCCAUAGCUUUUGGAGCUGCUGCCCAGAGGCCACAUCCCUUCAGGAUGCAGUGCAGAAUGAGUAUUCAGACAUCUUCAUCUCCCAGUCUUCCCCUGAAAGAGGUUGGUAAAUUUCUUUGGAAAUGAUCCCAUU